GGAGGAGUACCCAAGUGGUCGAAGGGGACGGUUUGCUAAACCGUUAGCUCGGGGCAACCCGGGGCGAGAGUUCGAAUCUCUCCUCCUCCG
This 90-nucleotide transfer RNA is filed under the name Candidatus Saganbacteria bacterium. RNAcentral's name for it is "tRNA-Ser". It matches the Rfam family "tRNA". Rfam says of the family: Transfer RNA (tRNA) molecules are approximately 80 nucleotides in length. Their secondary structure includes four short double-helical elements and three loops (D, anti-codon, and T loops). The record is from RNAcentral. Lineage: Bacteria; Bacillati.